GGGGCAUCCUGAAGUUUGGGGACAAAGCCACUUUAAGAGAUUUUCCCUAUUCCCUUCAAGUUCCUUCCCCUGUCCCUCCCUUGCAACGUUCCUGGGUCACCUCUUGGGGAAACAGAUCCACCAAAUGUCAUCUCUGCAGCCACAGAUCAGACAUAUUAGUUGCUACUGAGCCCAGAGAUACGCAGUUUAAAUCCAUUUCACUGACGAAACAGUCGAACCAUGUACAAAUGUGCAACUGCCUUCUGAUGCCGUCAAGCCAGGCUGUGCUGCUCAUCAGCCUGCCAAGACUGCAAGCGACUUCCGUCACCCAGGGGCUGCUCUGAGCCAGAGAUUACCCCUUCAGCUCAGAAUCUGCUGGAAGAAUAAAGUGACUACCACCUUUACAGAUUGAAUGUCUUUCUGUAUCUUCCCUUUUAAAAAUAAUGUAUUUUUUUAAGGAGGGUGGAAGCAUGCCUUAAUUGUCCCUCCAGUGGAUAGUUUGGAUUUUAACAAAAUUGGUUAGUAAUUAAAAUCAAAUAUUCUCAUUAAAAAUCGUUUCUAUUUUGCAGAAAUUAAAUUUUCUGGUUUGGAAAUCCUGCUUUUGC
This 584-nucleotide long non-coding RNA is filed under the name Chinchilla lanigera (long-tailed chinchilla). RNAcentral describes it as "lncRNA (ENSCLAG00000028108.1)". Lineage: Eukaryota; Metazoa; Chordata; Mammalia; Rodentia; Chinchillidae. The record is from RNAcentral.